ACUCGAUCUGGACCUGCGCUUCGAUGCUACUCACCUGCAAACAUUGAUGAGGAAUUGAUGGAUUCAGCCCGUAAUUUCUUGAGAGGUGGAGGAUUUACCAUAGAUUUGGAUGCCAAGGUUGCAUAUGUCAGUGCGAUCCUCAAAUGGUAUAGUGUGGAUUUUGGUAAGAAUGAGGUANNNNNNNNNNNAUGCAUCAAAUUACUUGGAGCCUGCCAACUCUGAAGCUUUGUUGGAGUUGCUUGCCAGUGGUCAAUUAAAGGUGAUAUACCAGCCUUACGAUUGGGGAUUGAACUUGUAGCUUAGUUUUGGCUUUCUUAUACUCUAUAUAUAGGUUGUUACAACUUCCCUUGUUUACAGAUAUUUGCAUGAGGGAAGUAUCAACUAUUUUAUGAAAUAAAAAUUUAAUAGAUCCAGCUCAACACGUCUUCCUGAAAGUAACUUUUAACACUUAAUAAAUUAGAUAAAG
RNAcentral lists this unclassified non-coding RNA (466 nucleotides) under Hevea brasiliensis (rubber tree). Lineage: Eukaryota; Viridiplantae; Streptophyta; Magnoliopsida; Malpighiales; Euphorbiaceae. The record is from RNAcentral.